RNAcentral lists this long non-coding RNA (1038 nucleotides) under Anas platyrhynchos platyrhynchos (common mallard). RNAcentral describes it as "lncRNA (ENSAPLG00000026313.1)". The record is from RNAcentral. Lineage: Eukaryota; Metazoa; Chordata; Aves; Anseriformes; Anatidae.
AUGGACGAGCAGGGGCUCAGCUCCCCGUGUGCUGCAAAUAGAGGGAACGGCGCUCACAAGGCACGAACAGGAUUAGACCCUGGGUACACCAAGGGUGAAUGUGGCUGGGAAGCAGCUGAGAGACCCUGGGGCUGCCACCUCCAUCCCGGGGGACACCGGGGACCCGUCCCCAUCCUGCCAUCCCCUGGCUGGAGUCCCUGUGCCCCAGCCACAUCCCCCCUGCCGGAGGCCACUGCUGUCCCCACGUUGCCAGGAGACUGUCCCCAGCUCCCCUUCGCUUUCUGCUUCUCUUUCUUUUCCCUUUUAACAAGAAGAAGAAGGAGGGGGGGGUGGAGGACAAAGGCCCAGACGUCCCGCGUGACGUCGCAGUUGCUGGGGAAACACGCGCAAGGCCUUUUCCUUGAAUGUAUUUGUUUUAACAAAGCCCUGUGCCAUCUGCCCCUCCAUCCCCGACCCACGGUGGUUGCUGUUAGGGGCAGGAACGGGGAGCUGGGGGCGUGGGGUGGUUCCCACAGACCCCCCCCCCAGGACCCUUGGGCUGAAUUCCCUCCCUCACACACGCUGCACGGGGCACCCCGCUGUCCCCAUGGGCAGCCUGUUUUUGUUGGGGGUGAAAUGGCCUCAAAGAGCUUGGGGUUUUGGGGGAUCUCUGAGGAGAUUGCCCCUAUUUUCCUGUCCUGCUUUCUAAGGAGCAUCAUCGGCCCCAAGGCUCCCAGCACUUUUUUCUCCCACUGCUGGGGGGGACGAGCACCGGUUGUUCAUCGCUGCCCCCGGGUUUUUGCCUGCCCUCCUUGUGCCUGCUUCCCCCUGGCCCCUUGCCCGGGGAAAGAGACUGAAAAGGGCCAAUGCACCCAGCUCCAGCUGGGGGAACAAAGAGCCCCUUGUCCCAGGCAGCCGGGGCAAAGUGCAGAGCCGGCUUCCCAGGCUUGUCCUUUUCUCCUUCUCUUUCUCCCACUCUGUUUUUCUGUGGGUUUGGGUUGGUUUUGUGUUUUGUUUUUUUUUUUUUUUAAAGACUUCUCUCCAAGAACAGAGUUCUGA